CCCUACAGAGUACGUAUAACUUGAGUCAUAUUUAGAACCAACACUAAAUUGAUUGGGAGUCUUUCCUCUGGAUAUGGUGUGCAAGCUUACCUAGACGUAGUAAGAAGCCCGUAAGUAUUCAGGCAGACACCCACCUGUGUUAGCACAGGGUCUUAAAUCAGCUCAAACGGAACGGCUACACGUGGGGUU
This 189-nucleotide non-coding RNA is filed under the name human gut metagenome. Its description in RNAcentral is "6S / SsrS RNA". It matches the Rfam family "6S / SsrS RNA". Rfam says of the family: E. coli 6S RNA was the first non coding RNA to be sequenced, but its function was unknown until recently. It consists of 184 nucleotides that fold into an extended hairpin structure with a large single-stranded internal bulge. The record is from RNAcentral.